Long non-coding RNA from Amblyraja radiata (thorny skate), 409 nucleotides. RefSeq lists it as uncharacterized. The record is from RefSeq and is a predicted model, not a curated record. NCBI's taxonomy places the organism in Eukaryota, Metazoa, Chordata, Chondrichthyes, Rajiformes, Rajidae. The transcript has 3 exons.
CGUUGGAAAAUAAAUGCACUGUUUGUUGACUGCCUUAAACGUUCUCUGAAUUGGCAGAUAUGGUAAAUAAAACUCCUUUUAACAUAGAAUCCAGCUGCCUGGCCGCAAAGAAUACUCCAGUCACCUCAACAAGGUGAACGUGUUAAACGCAAGAUUCGUGAAGUAAAUUUGAGGACAUGCCGUGCGCACGUGGGGAAGUACAAGAAUGCACUUGUAAAUAUGCACCCGAAGGAUACAUCUCGAAGGCAUGUCUCCUUCGCGUUAGCUAAAGCAGUACAUUUCGUUUCUUUUCUCCGAAACACAACAUUAUCAAGGUACCAUUGAGCAGCAUGUUGUUGAGGGGGGGGGGGGGGCUUGUGAGUAUCAUCCGGGCCGUUGUAUGGAAAUGGCGGGAGCUCUGGGCUACAAG